AACGAACGCUGGCGGCAGGCCUAACACAUGCAAGUCGAACGCCCUAGCAAUAGGGAGUGGCAGACGGGUGAGUAACACGUGGGAACCUUCCCUAUAGUACGGAAUAGCCCAGGGAAACUUGGAGUAAUACCGUAUACGCCCGAGAGGGGAAAGAUUUAUCGCUAUAGGAUGGGCCCGCGUAGGAUUAGCUAGUUGGUGAGGUAAUGGCUCACCAAGGCGACGAUCCUUAGCUGGUCUGAGAGGACGACCAGCCACACUGGGACUGAGACACGGCCCAGACUCCAACGGGAGGCAGCAGUGGGGAAUAUUGGACAAUGGGCGCAAGCCUGAUCCAGCCAUGCCGCGUGAGUGAUGAAGGCCUUAGGGUUGUAAAGCUCUUUUGUCGGGGAAGAUAAUGACGGUACCCGAAGAAUAAGUCCCGGCUAACUUCGUGCCAGCAGCCGCCGUAA
This 449-nucleotide ribosomal RNA is filed under the name uncultured bacterium. Its description in RNAcentral is "partial 16S ribosomal RNA". It matches the Rfam family "Bacterial small subunit ribosomal RNA", at positions 29 to 523 of the family's 1533-position model. The record is from RNAcentral.